GUUAGAGUAGCAAAGGCCAUUAGAUGCAGCUGUAGUUUUAACCAUAAACGAUGACAUCUCAGGAUAUCAUUGAUGAUCAUGCUUGAUUGGUUGUUGGGGGGGUUAUACCCUUCGGCCUCCAAUUGCUAAUGUAGAUCUUGUUCAUUGAGUUUUUAAAACAGGGGUAACCCUGUUACUCGUAUUAGACCAGUGAUGCACUGUGUGGGAAACCAACAGCUGUCUUCGUGGAGUGUAUGUUAGCAAUGAUGAAAUUUAAAAGAAUUGACGGAAGUAUCACCACCAGGAUUGGAUCGUGCGGCUUAAUUUGACUCAACGCGGGAAAUUUUACCAGGUCAGGACACCAUGAGGAUUGACAAACUGCAGCUCUUUCAAGAUUUUGUGUUUGUUACAUGUAGUGCAUGGCCUUUGGGAAAUUCGUGGAUUG
This 424-nucleotide ribosomal RNA is filed under the name uncultured Cercozoa. Its description in RNAcentral is "bacterial SSU rRNA". It matches the Rfam family "Eukaryotic small subunit ribosomal RNA", at positions 989 to 1308 of the family's 1831-position model. Lineage: Eukaryota; Cercozoa. The record is from RNAcentral.